GAUGAACGCUGGCGGCGUGCUUAACACAUGCAAGUCGAACGGGAAACCUUUUAUUGAAGCUUCGGCAGAUUUAGCUGGUUUCUAGUGGCGGACGGGUGAGUAACGCGUGGGUAACCUGCCUUAUACAGGGGGAUAACAGUCAGAAAUGGCUGCUAAUACCGCAUAAGCGCACAGAGCUGCAUGGCUCAGUGUGAAAAACUCCGGUGGUAUAAGAUGGACCCGCGUUGGAUUAGCUGGUUGGUGGGGUAACGGCCCACCAAGGCGACGAUCCAUAGCCGGCCUGAGAGGGGGAACGGCCACAUUGGGACUGAGACACGGCCCAGACUCCUACGGGAGGCAGCAGUGGGGAAUAUUGCACAAUGGGGGAAACCCUGAUGCAGCGACGCCGCGUGAAGGAAGAAGUAUCUCGGUAUGUAAACUUCUAUCAGCAGGGAAGAUAAUGACGGUACCUGACUAAGAAGCCCCGGCUAACUACGUG
Molecule: ribosomal RNA, 478 nt
Filed under: uncultured bacterium
Lineage: Bacteria
Description: partial 16S ribosomal RNA
Rfam family: Bacterial small subunit ribosomal RNA
Source: RNAcentral